UCCUUGAUUUAGUAGAGUUUGUGCAUAAUUAGAUCUGUUCCCUCAUUGUGCUGCGGAGAGCAGCAGUGAUGGAGAGCGCGCGUGUGCAUUUUAUACGCUUGUUGGGUGUUUAGCGAAAGCAUCUGUGAUUUUUCCUGUCCCUUGUGAUUAGGUAAUUGGUCUAAAUAGGAAGAUUGGGCCUUCGCUUGGCCUAACAAUGCUCCCGCUCCUUCGUGUUUCCAUGUGCUGUGAGGGGAGCCACCAGCUGGAGCUGUGGCACCGCCUGCGGCCUACCCGCAGCUUGAGGCCUGUGGGGGGCCGGGGGCCAAGCACCAUGGUGCCUGCAGGGCCCUGGGGGGCAAGAUGGAAGGGAACACCACAAGUGUCACCUCUCCUGUCCUGGUAGAUGCGUGCUGCCAGCAGUGCUGCAAUAUCCAUCGAGGGCCGCCCAGAGUUUUCUUUGCAGCCAGAUGACUACCUUGCACUAGUAUGACGUCUCUGUCAUACUUUUACAUGGGUUGUCCAAGAAGAAAACCCAACAAUUUCCAAUGCAGCAUGAAGCUGGAUCAAGGAGGUAGGAUGUAUUACGUGGAGUUUCUCCAUUAACAUUUAGCAAAGGACAGAUUUAAACAUUUCCGUGCCAUCCAGCCAUUUUACACCUUUUAACAACGUUCCUGGAUUAGCUCUGGCUUUCAUUCGAAAAUGUCUCUGCGAUACCUGGCAUUCGCAGACGCUGGUUUGCAAGAGCGCUGUCACGAUGCCCCUGCCCACACGCAACGCUGCCUGGAACCACAGAGUGAUAAAACCUCUCCUCGCUCUUCCUGGAUGUAAUUAUUUCUAAUAAAAUCUA
Molecule: long non-coding RNA, 829 nt
Organism: Cygnus olor (mute swan)
Lineage: Eukaryota; Metazoa; Chordata; Aves; Anseriformes; Anatidae
Exons: 4
Source: RefSeq, a predicted model, not a curated record